RNAcentral lists this ribosomal RNA (1064 nucleotides) under Alternaria alternata. Its description in RNAcentral is "SSU rRNA". It matches the Rfam family "Eukaryotic small subunit ribosomal RNA". The record is from RNAcentral. Lineage: Eukaryota; Fungi; Ascomycota; Dothideomycetes; Pleosporales; Pleosporaceae.
UCUAGGUAUAAGCAAUUAUACCGUGAAACUGCGAAUGGCUCAUUAAAUCAGUUAUCGUUUAUUUGAUAAUACCUUACUACUUGGAUAACCGUGGUAAUUCUAGAGCUAAUACAUGCUGAAAAUCCCGACUUCGGAAGGGAUGUGUUUAUUAGAUAAAAAACCAAUGCCCUUCGGGGCUUUUUGGUGAUUCAUGAUAACUUUACGGAUCGCAUAGCCUUGCGCUGGCGACGGUUCAUUCAAAUUUCUGCCCUAUCAACUUUCGAUGGUAAGGUAUUGGCUUACCAUGGUUUCAACGGGUAACGGGGAAUUAGGGUUCGAUUCCGGAGAGGGAGCCUGAGAAACGGCUACCACAUCCAAGGAAGGCAGCAGGCGCGCAAAUUACCCAAUCCCGACACGGGGAGGUAGUGACAAUAAAUACUGAUACAGGGCUCUUUUGGGUCUUGUAAUUGGAAUGAGUACAAUUUAAACCUCUUAACGAGGAACAAUUGGAGGGCAAGUCUGGUGCCAGCAGCCGCGGUAAUUCCAGCUCCAAUAGCGUAUAUUAAAGUUGUUGCAGUUAAAAAGCUCGUAGUUGAAACUUGGGCCUGGCUGGCGGGUCCGCCUCACCGCGUGCACUCGUCCGGCCGGGCCUUCCUUCUGAAGAACCUCAUGCCCUUCACUGGGCGUGCUGGGGAAUCAGGACUUUUACUUUGAAAAAAUUAGAGUGUUCAAAGCAGGCCUUUGCUCGAAUACGUUAGCAUGGAAUAAUAAAAUAGGGCGUGCGUUUCUAUUUUGUUGGUUUCUAGAGACGCCGCAAUGAUUAACAGGAACAGUCGGGGGCAUCAGUAUUCAGUUGUCAGAGGUGAAAUUCUUGGAUUUACUGAAGACUAACUACUGCGAAAGCAUUUGCCAAGGAUGUUUUCAUUAAUCAGUGAACGAAAGUUAGGGGAUCGAAGACGAUCAGAUACCGUCGUAGUCUUAACCGUAAACUAUGCCGACUAGGGAUCGGGCGAUGUUCUUUUUCUGACUCGCUCGGCACCUUACGAGAAAUCAAAGUUUUGGGUUCUGGGUGAUUAUGACGGCCG